This is a long non-coding RNA of Acromyrmex echinatior (Panamanian leafcutter ant), 182 nucleotides long. Lineage: Eukaryota; Metazoa; Arthropoda; Insecta; Hymenoptera; Formicidae. The record is from RefSeq and is a predicted model, not a curated record.
AUUUACACGGGCCAAAAUCUCAAGAAUAUCAUUAGCCUCGCUUAGACGACCUUUCGCUAAUAACCAUCGCGGCGAUUCCGUGUAUGUACAAUGCUCCAGAUAGCAGACAAUAUUUAUAAAAUAUUUACGAAAGAUUUUUGUAAAUAUUUCUCACCACCAAUAAAAGAAGUAUAUCAAAAAAG